This 5332-nucleotide long non-coding RNA is filed under the name Sus scrofa (pig). Its description in RNAcentral is "lncRNA (ENSSSCG00060074831.1)". The record is from RNAcentral. Lineage: Eukaryota; Metazoa; Chordata; Mammalia; Artiodactyla; Suidae.
GCUCUGGCAUAGGCCGGCAGCUGCAGCUCUGUGACUACAGCUCUGAUUGGACCCCUAGCCUGGGAACCUCCAUAUGCUGCAUGUUUGGCCCUAAAAAGACAAAAAGUACAAAAAAAUUAAAAGUAUAAAAAAAAACCUAAAUAUAUUCCUUGCAAUUAAUAAAUAUUUCAAUACAAAGGACUAAGUGAGAACUAAUGUGAUAUAAUUAUGAAAUUCCUAAUGAUUUUGGCAAAUUGUCAUCAAGCUGAGGUGUGCAAUGCUCAAAGUUUAUAUCAAAGGAACCCAGUUCUCCCCCUUGGUGAAGAGAAGAGCAAAUUUCUGUAGAUAUCGUGAGCCAUGUCUCCAACUAAAAGUCAAUGAUUUGAAGUUUCAAGGUGUCUCAUCCAGACAGGGAUUUAAUCUAGUCUUAAAUUUGGAGAAAAAUUUAAAUGUCGAGAUAAGGUGAUGAAAGAUUAGACUUGGGAAGCCAGCAGAGUUCAUGAGUAAGAUCUUAUAAACACUGGUACACUUAAUUCUAACCUCGUCUCUUGGGAACACAGAAUCUCCAGGAAAUCGUUCUCUCACACUAAUGUCCAUGGGAAAUCAUGUGCUUAGGGGUUAAAGAGAGGGAAAUGUGCUAAUAAGCGGACAUAGAGAGCUAUAAAUCCACUGCCACAGUCCCUCAGCAUGUGAAACCUGGCACUGGACAGUCACUGUUGCCUUCGGAGUCCUAAGUUUUGUUGGAAGACUAAUGCUAGCCUCUUUCCUGCUGCCUUGUGUGAACUCAGAGCUUCAGUCUCCAUCAUCAACCAUUCAGGAAGAAUCUGGACUUCCACCUAGGACCUCGUCUCUCAGGGUUCCCAACGAAGUAAGCAGGGGAGCCCCGGAGGUACUGCACAAAAGGGUCAGAGAGAACCAAAGCUGAGCACACAUACCAGUGAUCACCCAAGAUCCACCAGCUUAACCCCAAGGUGAAGAGAUUUCUACAGAUGAUUUCUUGCCUGAUUAACUAAUUAAUGCAUUUAUUUAUCACACUAAUAAGAGAAGUUAACACUGAAUUCAGCAAUAUAGGUUUGAUUUUUGACAGUUACGUGAUGGUAGUCCAUUAGAGAAAUGAAUGGGAGGUAUACAAUUUUGCUGGUAAAGGGAGAACAUAUCCAAGGAGUUUUAUAGUUCAGAGAAUAAAAAGCAGUACUAGGUGUGGAGGUCUGUCCAGGGAAUCAGGGGAAGUUUCUUUUUUUAUUUUUAACAUGGGACAUAUACAACAAUGUAUAUGUAUUCAUAAGGAAGAUUCAGACCAAUUUAUUGCUUGCAAGUGUUACCUUGCAACAACAGUUUAUGAGACAUUUAUUUUCACUCUGGGUAUUCACAUGAAAAAAAUAUAUUUUAUAUGUAAAAAGUAGUAUGCUGUAGGUUAGUUAUUCAUUUGUAUUCUCUGUUUUAAAGAGUCUGUAAAAAUUCUUUAUAUGCGUAUAGUGGGCUCAGAGUGUUUUUAUUCUUGUCUUUUAUUCUUGUCAAUUUUUGCCACUAACUUUUUUAUUUGCCACUGAGUUAUUUUAUAGAUAGAUAGAUAGAUAGAUGGAUAUUACAGAAUUUUGUUUAUCAACAAUAUUAUUCUUUUUUUUUUUUUUUUGUCUUUUGAGGGCUGUACCCACCAUGGCAUAUUAAGUUCCCAGGCUAGGGGUCAAAUAGGAUCUGUAGCUAAUGGCCUAUGCCACAGCCACAGCAAUGCCAGAUGCUUAACCCAUUGAGCAAGGCCAGGGAUAGAAUCUGUGUCCUCAUGGAUACUAGUCAGGUUCAUUACCACUAAAACACUAUGGAACUCCACUAUUAGUAUUCUUUACUUUGAAAUAUUUGAUAAAACAAAAUGAAAGUGACUAUUCUUCUGUAUACUUACUGCUAAUAAAUCACCCUUUAUGCAUGUGAUCAAUUUCUCUUUGCAUCUCUUUUAUUUCUUACCAUUUCUUUGGCCUUUUGUGAAUAGGUUUAUUUCUAAAAGCUGCACCACCUUCAAAUGUCAUCUGGAAGACAUUCUUAUUACAUUUGACUAAAGGUAAGCAACAUUCUAUAAACUUGUGCAAAUCCCUAUUUAUUUUAUUUUAUUUUAUUUUUUUUAAUUUUUUGGCCGCCUCACAGUGUGUGGAGUUCCUGGGGCAGGGAUCAGAUAUGAGAUGCAGUUGUGGCAAUGCCAUAUCUUUAACCCACUGUGCCUGGUACUGCUUCUUCCACAAUUUUAAAUUCCCUUCCAUUAUAUCCUUAUAUGUCCAAGUCUUUGGAAGUUCAAUCUAUAGUUAGUUACCCACAUUGCUAUUCUUCAGUUUUUAUUACAUUAUUUUGUUUUAUAAGUUUGUUUUGGCUUCAAUCUCAAUUUUGUUUCACGCAGUUGUUUUGAAACCACUAAUCCUAACUUAAUUUCCAUUCUAACUGACACUCUUAUUUCUAUAAAUUCUUAGCUUCUUUUAAAACUUCUCUUUCUGUGUAUGCACAUGUACAUAUUCAUAACUUUUAUUCAAAUGAAUGAAUAGAAUCCUAUACACAUCAUACAUGCUAUUUAUUUUUUAGUGCAGUCUUUUUUUUUUUUUUUUUCUACCAUGUGUCAGGUUUUCCUUCUUACUUAAUAAUGCCUCAUGGACUUGCCUUCAAUCUGGGAAUGUAAUGCUUAUUCAUGGCUUCGAUGCCUGUGUAUUUCAUGAUGUAGCUUUGCUACUCAUGCUUUAAAAUAUUUACUACAAUUACACAAAAAUAUUUGGAGAUUUUUAUUGUAAAACACUAGACUCCAGAGACAAUACUGUUCCCCCCAGCCCAGGGGACUUUUAGCAAUGUCCAGAGACUCUUCUAUGUCAUAUGGGGACUUGUCAGCAGAGACCGGGGAUGGUGUAAACAUCUUGCAAUAUCACCACCAAAUCCAGUCUGUACAAGAACGUUAAAAGUGCCAGGAGUGAGACAGCCUGAGUGAAGAAUAUCUGUAUUUUUAGUAUUUAUAUCUGUAUUCAGAUUGCUUCCCAACCUUAUUAAAUUUCAUUUCACAUUUCAACCAGGAAAAUUAGAGAGUGAGUACCAUGUUGUUACCUGUUCAAACCCAAUCAACAUGAGAGCACUUUUGGUUGGUGUUUUCUUAGGCUGAUGGGUAGGAAAGUGAAUUCUGGUUGAAUUUUUUAGCUAUUACUGAGUUCCAUCAAAGAUUUACCCACUUGCUCAUCUUUUUCAUUUGCCUAUUAUUAUAUGCUCAUUAUCAUAUAGCCAAGUUUUCUACAUUUACCAAUAUUUUAAAUUAUUUUUAAAAUGAUUACUUCCAAAAUGACAUACAUGCCAUACAUAUUUUAGGUAAAAGUUCUUAAAUUUUAAUUUUUUAAGAUUUUUUAAUGAUUUUUGUUGUUUCCAUUAUGGUUGGUUUACAGUGUUCUGUCAGUUUCUACUGUAUAGCAAAGUGACCUAACCACACACACACACACACACGUAUAUAUACCUUAUUAUCCUCACAUUAUUCUCCAUCAUGUUCCAUCAUAAGCAACUCUACUUCCCUGUGCUAUAUAGCAGGAUCUCAUUGCUUAUCAACUCCACAUGCAAUAGUUUGCAUUUUUUUUAAUUUAUUUUUUUCCCACUGUACAGCAAGGGGAUUAAGUUAUCCUUACAUGUAGACUUUUUUUCCCCACCCUUUGUUCUGUUGCAAUAUGAGUAUCUAGACAUAGUUCUCAAUGCUACUCAGCAGGAUCUCCUUGUAAAUCCAUUUGAAGUUGUGUCUGAUAACCCCAAGCUCCCAAUCCCUCGCACUCCCUCCCUCUCCCGUCGGGCAGCCACAAGUCUCCUCUCCAAGUCCAUGACUUUCUUUUCUCUGGAGAUGUUCAUUUGUGCUGGAUAUUAGAAGCCAGGUAUAAGUGAUAUCAUAUGGUAUUUGUUUUUUUCUUUCUGACUCAUUUCACUCAGUAGGAGAGUCUCUAGUUCCAACCAUGUUGCUGCAAAUGGCAUUAUGCCAUUCUUUUUUAUGGCUGAGUAGUAUUCCAUUGUGUAUAUAUACCACUUCUUCUGAAUCCAAUCAUCUAUUGAUGGACAUUUGGGUUGUUCCCAUGUCCUGGCUAUUGUGAAUAGGGCUGCUAUGAGCAUGCGUGUGCAUGUGUCUCUUUUAAGUAGAGUUUUGUCCAGAUAUAUGGCCAAGAAUCGUAUUGCAGGGUCAUAUGGAAGUUCUAUGUAUAGAUUUAUUAACCCCAUACUCCCAGUCCAUCCCUCUCCCUCCCCGUCCCUGUUGGCAACCAUAAGUCUGUUUCCAUACCCAUGAUUUUCUUUUCUGUGGAAAGUUUCAUUUGUGCUGUAUAUUAGAUUCAAGAUUGAGUGAUAAUCAUAUGGUAUUUGUCUCUCUUUCUGACUUACUUCACUUAGUAUGAGAGUCUAUUUCCAUCCAUGUUGUUGCAAAUGGCAUUAUUUUGUUCUUUUUAUGGAUGAGUAGUAUUCCAUUGUGUACAUAUACUACAUUAACUUAAUCCAUUCAUCUGUUGAUGGACACUUAGGUUGUUUCCAUGUCUUACCUAUUUUGAAUAGUGCUGCAAUGAACAUAGGGGUACAUGUAUGUUUUUCAAGGGAGGUUUUGUCUGGAUAUAUGCCCAAGAGUGGGAUUUCUGAAUCAUGUGGUAGUUUUGUACUUAGUUUUCUAGGUAUUUCCAUACUGUUUUCCAUAGUGGUUGUACCAGUUUACAUACCUACCAAUGGAGGGUUCCCUUUUUUCCACACCCUCUCCAGCAUUUGUUAUUGUGGACUUGUUAAUGAUGGCCAUUCUGACUGGCAUGAGAUUCUACCUCACAGUAGUCUUGAUUUUCAUUUCUCUAGUAAUUAGUGAUGUUGAGCAUUUUUUCAUGUGCUUGUUGGCCAUAUGUAUAUCUUCUUUGGGGAAAUCUCUAUCCAAGUCUUUUGCCCAUUUUUUCAAUUGAAUUGUUGGGUUUUUUUUCGGUUGAGCUGUAUAGGUUGUUUACAUAUUUUAGAGAUUAAGCCCUUGUAAGUUGCUUCAUUUGAAACUAUUUUCUCCCAUUCCAUAGGUUGUCUUUUUGUUUUGAUUUGAUUUUUUAUAUAUAGUUUCCCUUGCUGUGCAAAAGCUUGUCAGUUUGCUUAGGUCCCAUUGGUUUAUGCUUGGUUUUAUUUCUGUUGCCUUGGGAGUCUGACCUAAGAAAACAUUUGUGUGGUUAAUGUCAGAUAAUGUUUUGUCUAUGUUCUCUUCUAGAAGGUUGAAAAAUUCUUGUCUUAAUGUGUAAGUGUUGAAGCCAUUUUAAUGUCAUACACCACAGUAACAAAAGAAUACUCAAAAAAAACCACAGGAUCUUCUCAAUAGAUGCAGAAAAAGCAUUUAACAAAGUCCAAGAUCCAUUUG